RNAcentral lists this ribosomal RNA (497 nucleotides) under uncultured bacterium. RNAcentral's name for it is "partial 16S ribosomal RNA". It matches the Rfam family "Bacterial small subunit ribosomal RNA", at positions 28 to 507 of the family's 1533-position model. The record is from RNAcentral.
GACGAACGCUGGCGGCGUGCCUAAUACAUGCAAGUCGAGCGAUGAAGACUGGUGCUUGCACCAAUUUGAAGAGCAGCGAACGGGUGAGUAACGCGUGGGGAAUCUGCCUUUGAGCGGGGGACAACAUUUGGAAACGAAUGCUAAUACCGCAUAACAACUUUAAACAUAAGUUUUAAGUUUGAAAGAUGCAAUUGCAUCACUCAAAGAUGAUCCCGCGUUGUAUUAGCUAGUUGGUGAGGUAAAGGCUCACCAAGGCGAUGAUACAUAGCCGACCUGAGAGGGUGAGCGGCCACAUUGGGACGGGGACACGGCCCAAACUCCUACGGGAGGCAGCAGUAGGGAAUCUUCGGCAAGGGACGAAAGUCUGAACGAGCAACGCCGCGUGAGGGAAGAAGGUUGUCGGAUCGUAAAACUCUGUUGGUAGAGAGGAACGUUGGUGAGAGUGGAAAGCUCAGCAAGUGACGGUAACUACACAGAAAGGGACGGCUAACUACGUG